RNAcentral lists this RNase P RNA (229 nucleotides) under Polaromonas sp. Its description in RNAcentral is "partial RNase P RNA component class A". It matches the Rfam family "Bacterial RNase P class A", at positions 1 to 284 of the family's 367-position model. Rfam says of the family: Ribonuclease P (RNase P) is a ubiquitous endoribonuclease, found in archaea, bacteria and eukarya as well as chloroplasts and mitochondria. Its best characterised activity is the generation of mature 5'-ends of tRNAs by cleaving the 5'-leader elements of precursor-tRNAs. The record is from RNAcentral. Lineage: Bacteria; Pseudomonadati; Pseudomonadota; Betaproteobacteria; Burkholderiales; Comamonadaceae.
GAAGCACGCCAGACUGCCGCUGGUGCAAGGGUGGAAACACCGCACUGGAGGAAGGUCCGGACUGCAAAGGGCAGCGUAGCAGCUAACAGCUGUCCACCGUGAGGUGAGGAUCAGAGCUACAGAGACGAGCCGGUUAAGUCCGGGUGAAACGAGCAAUCUCUACGCGCAGCAAUACCAAGUAGGCACACGUUGACGGGGCCCCCGGAGUGUGCGGGUAGGUAGCACCGAG